This 92-nucleotide transfer RNA is filed under the name Nannocystis exedens. Its description in RNAcentral is "tRNA-Pyl". Lineage: Bacteria; Pseudomonadati; Myxococcota; Nannocystales; Nannocystaceae. The record is from RNAcentral.
CAGCGAACGGUGGGGUUCAUCACUCGCGACUCUAGCUCGAGAACAGGCCGCGGUAGGCGCCCGAAUGCGCUGCAAUUGCGCGGUUCGCGGGC